ACCCCUAAUUGCCUCCAACCCAUUUCUCAUUGCUGGGCCCCACUUUCCCAUCCCCCCACUCUCCCAGUCCAUCCCCAGGGUGUGAGGUUCCUCAUCUUCAAUCUCUGCUACACCCAAACCUGCCAGGUUCCCCUUUUCAACCACUGUGGGGUCGUCCAACCCGCCGACACCCAUCCACUCUGGGCUCUCUAAAUCCCACAUUCCCACAAUGCUCCUUGGUAACGCCACUCUCCUCUCUCCCUAAUCCCCCUAUUCCCUUCCCUUAGGUCCUCCUGGACACCCCAACCCACAGUCAGGCCUCCACAUACAUCCCAGUCAUUCACAUGCUGAGCUAGUUCUUCAGGGACCCCCACAGCCCAGCAAACUUCUCCUUCCAUGAGCCCCAUGGACCUGUGGCCAGGAAGGGUGAGGUGUGGUUUUGGCCGAAGAUGAGGUGUUUUGGUAGCCCUGUGGAUGCUGUGUGGUGUCUGGAAUGGGGCGUGUGUGUUCCCAUCAUGCCCCUUCCCCUCUGCCUGCAGAGCUGAGGACAGACAGGUCUGAGGAGCAGAGCAGGAGCUCUGGGAAGGAGAAGAGCAAUAUGAAGAUGGAGUGUAAGAUGAGGCCAGCAAGGGAAAAGAAGUCACGGGGACGGAGUCCAGCCCUGAGGUGAGAUGGAAAGGAUCAAGAGCAGUGACAGCAUUGUUGAGGGGUGCAGGGCUCCAGGUAACUGGCAAUAUGGCG
Gopherus evgoodei (Goodes thornscrub tortoise) is the source of this 720-nucleotide long non-coding RNA. RefSeq lists it as uncharacterized. The transcript is spliced from 3 exons. Lineage: Eukaryota; Metazoa; Chordata; Testudines; Testudinidae. The record is from RefSeq and is a predicted model, not a curated record.